GCAUCCGCUGCUUAGUUCAACUUGCCUCCACCACACCUCCCAGGCCAUUCUCUCGUGCCCUCUCUUGGAUUCUCUCUCAGAUCCAUGCAAAUACAAAAUACUAGAAGUUGCCUUGAUUUAUUCAUUCCUUCACUUCAUAAACCAUAUCUUUCCUCCAACGUUUCUACCAUGUUGGCCUAUUGAAACUAGUAUCCCACUACAUAAUCUGAUACCUUGUUGUCUUGUAAAGGCUGGGCAAUGAAAUUUUGUAUUGUCUGAAUUGUACACUAACAGAUUAACUGUUGUAAAGUCAUGGUUCAAAUUUCUUGAUGCUGUUGGGUUCUGUUAUCUGAAUAUUAUGUGUUGAACAUGAUCCUACUUGGUUUGUCCUGCUUUUAAAUUGCGUGUUCUGAACCAUCUGAAACUAAUAAUGCUAGUUUGUACUAAGGUUUUGUGUUUGAUUUAGAAGCCAGGUAAUGAAAACUGUGUAUCCUCUAAAAAAGUACUGUAUGUUCCGUGUUCUAAAGCAUGUGUGAUUGAUAGUACAGUUAAUUAAACUGUUGGUUUUCCUACCAUGAUUUGGCACUGACCUAAUACUUACUGUUUGUGUUUAUUUCAGAGAUGUCUGUUUUCCCUUGUUUCAGAAGAAAAAAACCGCACAAGUUCCAGUGCCUGACACUAAGAUGAAGAUCAGCUGCGCCUGUCUAGACACAAUAAGUUGAGACACAAGUGCAUCGUGAGAUAACAGAACCCAACAGCAUCAACAGGAGGCCUUGGAGCGAUGGGUUCAGCAGAUUUUGCAAGAAAUGCAUCUUUUUUUGUUGCUGAUUCUGUGUUAAAUCCAAUGAAGUUGUAAAGUAAUGAAUGCUCCUUGCACACAUGCUGUUGUUUAACAGUAAAAAAAGUGUUUCUAUGUACAUCCUGCUGUUGUGUAUAUUUGAUCGAAUCAGGAAUUGCAUCAUAUAUUUGAUAGCAAUA
Long non-coding RNA from Lolium rigidum, 957 nucleotides. RefSeq lists it as uncharacterized. NCBI's taxonomy places the organism in Eukaryota, Viridiplantae, Streptophyta, Magnoliopsida, Poales, Poaceae. The record is from RefSeq and is a predicted model, not a curated record. The transcript is spliced from 2 exons.